UAUUGCGCUGAAGUCGUUUCCACAGCAAAUUCUGAGAGCCCUUACCAAAGACAUAGUUUUGUGACUUUUAAAGUCUGCAGGCUGCUUGGGAAGGACUCUGGGAGAUCCUGAACCACACAAGGCUGAUGUUGCGGGUCGGAAGCUGGGGACGGGAUGGAAUCUGGGUGAGGUCUGAAAGAAAGUGAUCAAAACCAGAAUGAAAAGCAAUUCCAAAGCAACUGGGAUGACUCCUACAUAAUCACCAAGUCAGGUAUGGACAGCUGAGGAAUCUGUGUCCUCAAAGUUUUCACACCAAAAUUAAUAAAAAAUUUCCUUGUUUCCUCUUUUA
Long non-coding RNA from Cavia porcellus (domestic guinea pig), 328 nucleotides. RefSeq lists it as uncharacterized. The transcript is spliced from 2 exons. The record is from RefSeq and is a predicted model, not a curated record. NCBI's taxonomy places the organism in Eukaryota, Metazoa, Chordata, Mammalia, Rodentia, Caviidae.